AGAGUUUGAUCCUGGCUCAGGACGAACGCUGGCGGCGUGCCUAAUACAUGCAAGUCGAGCGAAUCUUUAGGAGCUUGCUCCUGAAGAUUAGCGGCGGACGGGUGAGUAACACGUGGGCAACCUGCCUGUAAGACUGGGAUAACUUCGGGAAACCGUAGCUAAUACCGGAUAGGUUUUCGGUUCGCAUGAACCGGAAUGGA
This 200-nucleotide ribosomal RNA is filed under the name uncultured bacterium. Its description in RNAcentral is "partial 16S ribosomal RNA". It matches the Rfam family "Bacterial small subunit ribosomal RNA", at positions 8 to 204 of the family's 1533-position model. The record is from RNAcentral.